AUACUCCCCUGAAUGUGCCUAAUCUCAUCUGAUCUCAGAAACUAAUUAGGGUUGGGUCUGGUUAGUACUUGGAUGAGAGAGAUGGAAAAUUACUUAUAAAUAAGAGUCAAGUGGAAAUGCUGAGA
RNAcentral lists this ribosomal RNA (125 nucleotides) under Jaculus jaculus (lesser Egyptian jerboa). Lineage: Eukaryota; Metazoa; Chordata; Mammalia; Rodentia; Dipodidae. The record is from RNAcentral.